AGAGAAUGUGUCUUGAUUUAAGAAAUGGGACCCUGCAGAAAAAAAUUAUCUGAGACUUCCUUGAGUCCCAAGGUAUCACGUUGCACUGGGCAACCUGAUGAAUAAAGUUAAUGCACUAGAAGGCACGAAGGAACCUUGUGAACAGAAAGCUACAUUCAGUUCGUUGCUAUCAGGCAACAGAAGUGAACAAUGAAGAAAGACAACAAGAAAGAAAGGACAGAACUCUGCUGACUGAGCUAUUUGCCAGAAGCACAAAACAUCAUGAGCUCCUUCCCCUCCUCCUGUUCCAGCUGUAAUCUACGUGAGAAAGGCCUGGCCACCCACCUUCUUGCAGGAAAGGUUUCAUGCUUGUGAAUGCCAAGAAAAGAGGGAGGCACCUUUCUUCAGAAUUAGCUGCCUAAGCCUGACUGAGAGACAAAACAGGAUGAAAGACUUCCUACAUCCUUAGCUUCUCUACUCAGCUCCUUUCUUAGUGUCCUAGGUUAACAUUCCUGUCCCCUCCCUACACUCUGGGCAGACAACUCUAGAUGCCUAUACCAGAAUGGACAGCACAGCACCAACCCAGGAAGCCCGAUGUUAACCUCAGAGGUUCUCCAGCAGUGCAAGUUUCUGAAUUGUCUCUGAUUAUAAGGACUGUAGCGUAUGAAUAAGAAAACUUCAACAUCUUCAAGACAUGACAGAUAAAUAUCUUCCUUUGGGUACUGG
Gallus gallus (chicken) is the source of this 705-nucleotide long non-coding RNA. The record is from Ensembl. Lineage: Eukaryota; Metazoa; Chordata; Aves; Galliformes; Phasianidae.